Molecule: ribosomal RNA, 421 nt
Filed under: Verrucomicrobiota bacterium
Lineage: Bacteria; Pseudomonadati; Verrucomicrobiota
Description: Verrucomicrobia bacterium partial 16S ribosomal RNA
Rfam family: Bacterial small subunit ribosomal RNA
Source: RNAcentral
UGGGGAAUUUUGCACAAUGGGCGCAAGCCUGAUGCAGCGACGCCGCGUGAGGGAUGAAGGCCUUCGGGUUGUAAACCUUUUUCGCUCAUGGUCAAGCCGCAGCUUUGGGUUGUGGUGAGGGUAGUGGGUAAAGAAGCGCCGGCUAACUACGUGCCAGCAGCCGCGGUAAUACGUAGGUCCCGAGCGUUGUCCGGAUUUAUUGGGCGUAAAGCGAGCGCAGGCGGUUAGAAAAGUCUGAAGUGAAAGGCAGUGGCUCAACCAUUGUAGGCUUUGGAAACUGUUUAACUUGAGUGCAGAAGGGGAGAGUGGAAUUCCAUGUGUAGCGGUGAAAUGCGUAGAUAUAUGGAGGAACACCGGUGGCGAAAGCGGCUCUCUGGUCUGUAACUGACGCUGAGGCUCGAAAGCGUGGGGAGCGAACAGG